ACACCUCAACUCUCAUGGUUUGCCGUGAUGAGCUUGGACUUUGGGGGUCUUGCUGGCCUGCGGUCAGCUCCUCUAAAAUGAAUCAGCUUUCCAGUGUUUGGUGGCGUCACAGGUGUGAUAACUAUCUACGCUUGCGGUUUUCCACCAGGUAACCUCCAGCAAUGGAGGUUCGCUGGGGCUCACAAACGUCCUCUCCUCAGUGAAGACAGCUUUGUGAAC
RNAcentral lists this unclassified non-coding RNA (219 nucleotides) under uncultured Tomentella. RNAcentral's name for it is "sequence contains ITS2". Lineage: Eukaryota; Fungi; Basidiomycota; Agaricomycetes; Thelephorales; Thelephoraceae. The record is from RNAcentral.